UGAGGAAUAUUGGUCAAUGGGAGGAAUCCUGAACCAGCCAUGCCGCGUGCAGGAUGACGGCUCUAUGAGUUGUAAACUGCUUUUAUACGAGGGUAAUAAUUGGUACGUGUACCAAGAUGAAAGUAUCGUAUGAAUAAGGAUCGGCUAACUCCGUGCCAGCAGCCGCGGUAAUACGGAGGAUCCGAGCGUUAUCCGGAUUUAUUGGGUUUAAAGGGUGCGUAGGCGGUUUUGUAAGUUAGAGGUGAAAGUUCGGGGCUCAACUCCGAAAGUGCCUCUGAUACUGCAUGACUAGAUAUUAGAUGCAGAGGGCGGAAUGUGUAGUGUAGCGGUGAAAUGCUUAGAUAUUACACAGAACACCGAUUGCGAAGGCAGCUCUCUAAGCUAAUUAUGACGCUGAUGCACGAAAGCGUGGGGAUCAAACA
RNAcentral lists this ribosomal RNA (422 nucleotides) under uncultured Rikenellaceae bacterium. Its description in RNAcentral is "partial 16S ribosomal RNA". It matches the Rfam family "Bacterial small subunit ribosomal RNA", at positions 355 to 774 of the family's 1533-position model. The record is from RNAcentral. Lineage: Bacteria; Pseudomonadati; Bacteroidota; Bacteroidia; Bacteroidales; Rikenellaceae.